This 253-nucleotide ribosomal RNA is filed under the name uncultured bacterium. Its description in RNAcentral is "partial 16S ribosomal RNA". It matches the Rfam family "Bacterial small subunit ribosomal RNA", at positions 524 to 776 of the family's 1533-position model. The record is from RNAcentral.
GACAGAGGGUGCAAGCGUUAAUCGGAAUUACUGGGCGUAAAGCGUGCGUAGACGGUUACAUAAGUCGGGUGUGAAAGCCCCGGGCUCAACCUGGGAAUUGCAUUCGAGACUGCGUAGCUAGGGUGCGGAAGAGGGAAGCGGAAUUUCCGGUGUAGCGGUGAAAUGCGUAGAUAUCGGAAGGAACACCAGUGGCGAAAGCGGCUUCCUGGUCCAGCACCGACGUUCAGGCACGAAAGCGUGGGGAGCAAACAGG